This 141-nucleotide ribosomal RNA is filed under the name uncultured bacterium. Its description in RNAcentral is "partial 16S ribosomal RNA". It matches the Rfam family "Bacterial small subunit ribosomal RNA", at positions 355 to 509 of the family's 1533-position model. The record is from RNAcentral.
UGGGGAAUAUUGGGGCAAUGGGCGCAAGCCUGACCCAGCAACGCCGCGUGAAGGAAGAAGGCUUUCGGGUUGUAAACUUCUUUUGUCAGGGACGAAGCAAGUGACGGUACCUGACGAAUAAGCCACGGCUAACUACGUGCC